GCGUUGAUGGUGUAAUGGUUAGCAUUGCUGCUUUCCAAGCAGUAGAUCUGGGUUCGAUUCCCGGUCAACGCA
This 72-nucleotide transfer RNA is filed under the name Dendronephthya gigantea. RNAcentral's name for it is "tRNA-Gly". It matches the Rfam family "tRNA". From Rfam's summary of the family: Transfer RNA (tRNA) molecules are approximately 80 nucleotides in length. Their secondary structure includes four short double-helical elements and three loops (D, anti-codon, and T loops). The record is from RNAcentral. Lineage: Eukaryota; Metazoa; Cnidaria; Anthozoa; Malacalcyonacea; Nephtheidae.